Non-coding RNA from Prunus avium (sweet cherry), 145 nucleotides. NCBI's taxonomy places the organism in Eukaryota, Viridiplantae, Streptophyta, Magnoliopsida, Rosales, Rosaceae. The record is from RefSeq and is a predicted model, not a curated record.
AGGCGAUAUCACAGUAUUUGUACCUCCAACCCAGAAGCGACAUUCUUCAUCCUUGUGAUGUCAUGGAGGAUGUUGCAAUUGCAUAUGGAUAUAAUAAUAUCCCAAAGCGAAGUCCUGCAUCUUUGAAGCCAUUAGCCUUGAAUGA